This 85-nucleotide transfer RNA is filed under the name Felis catus (domestic cat). It matches the Rfam family "tRNA". Rfam says of the family: Transfer RNA (tRNA) molecules are approximately 80 nucleotides in length. Their secondary structure includes four short double-helical elements and three loops (D, anti-codon, and T loops). Further hydrogen bonds mediate the characteristic L-shaped molecular structure. tRNAs have two regions of fundamental functional importance: the anti-codon, which is responsible for specific mRNA codon recognition, and the 3' end, to which the tRNAs corresponding amino acid is attached (by aminoacyl-tRNA synthetases). tRNAs cope with the degeneracy of the genetic code in two manners: having more than one tRNA (with a specific anti-codon) for a particular amino acid; and 'wobble' base-pairing, i.e. permitting non-standard base-pairing at the 3rd anti-codon position. The record is from Rfam by way of RNAcentral. Lineage: Eukaryota; Metazoa; Chordata; Mammalia; Carnivora; Felidae. RNAcentral also lists the same sequence under 1 other name.
GCCUGGGUGGCUCAGUCGGUUAAGCAUCUGACUUCAGCUCAGGUCAUGAUCCCAUGGUUCACGGGUUUGAGCCCCAUGUCAGGCU